Long non-coding RNA from Choloepus didactylus (southern two-toed sloth), 509 nucleotides. RefSeq lists it as uncharacterized. The transcript is spliced from 3 exons. NCBI's taxonomy places the organism in Eukaryota, Metazoa, Chordata, Mammalia, Pilosa, Megalonychidae. The record is from RefSeq and is a predicted model, not a curated record.
UUUAAGGCUGUUAACCAGGUCAGAGGUAUGAGGAAAAGAAGGGCUUUUUUCUAAUCAGAGGAUGUUAAGCUUGUUGACUGGAAGCCUGCCUGCCAGAACAAGAUCCUUCUGCGCACACCAGAAACAAUCUGCUAUUGUCUCCAGGGAUAAAACGGUGCCAAUAAGAAAUGAAAACUCCCAGCCAAGAGGAGGCGUACCACAUUAACUGCUUCACCACUAAAGUGAAACAAGUUGCCAUUUCUGAGCUGCCCUAUGAAGAGACCCAUGUGGCAAGGGUGAAACAAUGAAGAACUGUGGCCAUCAGACCAACAGCCCGUGGAGAACUGAAUCCUGCCACCAGCCAUGGGAAUGAGUUUGGAAGCAGAUCCUCAUCAGUCGAGCAUGGAGAUAACUACAGCCCCUUCCAACACCUUGAAUGCAGCUAGUAAGAGCUGCUGAAGUAGAGGGCUCAACUAAGCUGCAUUUGAAUUUAUUACCUACAGAAACAGUGAGGUAAUAAAUGUUAUUGC